AAGGGUUGCGUAGGUGGUCAUUUAAGUCUGAUUUGAAAGCAGGCGGCUUAACCGUCUGAUGUGGUUGGAAACUGAAUGACUUGAAUGGGUUGGCGGUAGCCGGAAUGGGUCAUGUAGCGGUGAAAUGCAUAGAUAUGACCCGGAACACCGAUUGCGAAGGCAGGCUACUACGACUUGAUUGACACUGAGGCACGAGAGCAUGGGUAGCGAACAGGAUUAGAUACCCUAGU
Molecule: ribosomal RNA, 230 nt
Filed under: uncultured bacterium
Lineage: Bacteria
Description: partial 16S ribosomal RNA
Rfam family: Bacterial small subunit ribosomal RNA
Source: RNAcentral